AUGGAGGGAAUUUAUAAUUUUUUAUAUUAAUUUGUACGUGCUUUUACUGAAAGCACUGAAUAGUGAUUUAAUCUUAAGUUAUAAAUUUUAACGAAAAAUUAGAGUGAUAAACUUAUUCCCUAUUUUCAGAGGUGACGCUGUAGAGGAUGAAAGAAAUGGGGCGGGAGUGAGUACUCGCCCCCUGAAUUCUCUUCUAGUUCUGGUUACAAUACUUACCAUGGCCCAACCAAACACUACCGCACCCCGCUUCUACAUAGUAUUGAAGCUGCAAAGCCUCUUAGGUUUACGGACUCGCCACAACAUUAUCCCUCAUUGAAACCAAACCCUGUUCCACGGAGGAAGUCUAGUUGUACGAGUAUAGAAGGAGAGGUUCACUAUCCUCCUCCUCCUGCCCCCUAUGCUGCCUGUGAUGUUUUAGAAACAAGGAACUACGAAAGUCCACGUCGAUACCCUUCACGCACAGAAUAUUAUCACAAUCCUGUGCUUAGUGAUCACCAGUUAUCGUCAGGUUUCCAUCACUACCCCCCUGAAUAUCCUAGUCAUUACCCUGAACGACUCUACCCAGCACCUGCCCUCCAGGAUGAUCCAUACUACCAGCCGUAUGCAUAUGACACCCCAACAUCACGCCUGUCCGUAGACCCACCCACCGUCGCACACCGUCCAAUGUUUCCAAUGCCUCGAGUGGCUCCAACGUCAACCCAGGCUUUCGACUCGAAGCAGAUGACUCGGAGUUCUAUAACCAUAACCACCCUUACCCAGCUACCUCGAGACAGGGAACGUGCGAAGAGCCGGAAUUAUUCUAGCUACUUUUCCCGCCAGAAUUCCAUCGACUCCAACAGUUCAGAUAGGCCUACAACACUGGAAGUUUCAACAACUAGGCUCCGCUCGAGUUUGAAGAGGCACAACCGGCAACCCAACAAUGGCUCAUCAUCCUCCGGACCAGGUACGCCUACGAAUCCAACUCCCCCGACAGUCUGA
RNAcentral lists this long non-coding RNA (978 nucleotides) under Bemisia tabaci. RNAcentral's name for it is "lncRNA ENSSSA3NGG014474". Lineage: Eukaryota; Metazoa; Arthropoda; Insecta; Hemiptera; Aleyrodidae. The record is from RNAcentral.